RNAcentral lists this ribosomal RNA (468 nucleotides) under uncultured bacterium. RNAcentral's name for it is "partial 16S ribosomal RNA". It matches the Rfam family "Bacterial small subunit ribosomal RNA", at positions 28 to 507 of the family's 1533-position model. The record is from RNAcentral.
GACGAACGCUGGCGGCGUGCUUAACACAUGCAAGUCGAACGGAAAGGCCCUGCUUUUGUGGGGUGCUCGAGUGGUGAACGGGUGAGUAACACGUGAGUAACCUGCCCUUGACUUUGGGAUAACUUCAGGAAACUGGGGCUAAUACCGGAUAGGAGCUCCUGCUGCAUGGUGGGGGUUGGAAAGUUUCGGCGGUUGGGGAUGGACUCGCGGCUUAUCAGCUUGUUGGUGGGGUAGUGGCUUACCAAGGCUUUGACGGGUAGCCGGCCUGAGAGGGUGACCGGGCACAUUGGGACUGAGAUACGGCCCAGACUCAUACGGGAGGCAACAGGGGGGAAUAUUGCACAAUGGGCGGAAGCCUGAUGAAGCAACGCCGCGUGCGGGAUGACGGCCUUCGGGGUGUAAAACGCUUUCGCCUGUGACGAAGCGUGAGUGACGGUAAAGGGUAAAGAAGCACCGGCUAACUACGUG